RNAcentral lists this long non-coding RNA (4889 nucleotides) under Homo sapiens (human). RNAcentral's name for it is "non-protein coding lnc-KCNE1B-5:1". The record is from RNAcentral. Lineage: Eukaryota; Metazoa; Chordata; Mammalia; Primates; Hominidae.
AAGAGGGGGUGGUGCUUCAGCCUGGCGCCAGGGACGCUGCCAGCAUGCAGGCCCCGACGGAAGCCGAGACUGCGCUUCGUGCGAGGCCCGGGCAGCAUCGGCGGCGUGGUCAGAGCGAGUCUCGGAGAAGAUGUGGUGGCUUCCGUUUGUUGGUGGAGGAGGUGGCAGGCCUCGGCGAUGCUUUUUUAUUUGGAAAGUAGUUUUCUUUGCUAUGCAGAAACUUUUCACGUUGAUGUAGUCCCAUAUUUUUUUUUUUUUGCGUUUUAUGCGUGUCAUAAUGGUCACCCAUAUUAGAAAAUAUGCAUCAGUAACAAAGCAUUUAAUUGUCAGUGAGGUUUUUCUUCCAGGGUGUUUGUUUCUUUUCCUCUUUGCAAAGGUUAACAGAGAUUCAAGUGACCCAAAAUAUAUGCUCAACCUGUGUUUUACUUAAGUAAACACAGUAAUUUUUUAAAAAACAUUUUGUGGUUUAUGGUAUUUUGUUUUGGCCUUCAGUUGAUGGGGGGGGCGGUUGAUUUUCAUACAUCGUGUAAAAUAAGGGUCCUGUUUCUCGCUUUUGCAUCCGGAUAUCAUUUUUCUCAAAGCUAUUCAUUGAUCAGACUCUGCCUUCCACGUUGUGGUGUUCUUUAUCAAAGUCAGUUGACUGUGUCCAUAUUUGUGUUGUUUUUGUCCUCCCUGUUUUUGUCCAUAGUUCUAGGUAUUUCUUUUUAUGCAAGUACCAUAUAUCUACUGCAUAACUACAACUUGGCAAUUUAAUUUGAUAUCAAGGAUUAUGGGUUCUCACUUUGAUUGUAUUUCUCAAGAUUCCUUUAGAUAUUCAUUGCUUUUGUGGUUCCCUGUGAUUUUUAGCACUAUGUAUUUAUUUCUGUUAAUUUUUUUACAACAUAAAGGGCCAUAAUUAGGGGUACAUUUUUAUACAUAUAUAUUGGGUAAUGAUCAAAUCAGGGUACUUAGGAUCUCUAUUCCCUCAUACAGGUAUUAUUUUUGUGUAAAGAGAACAUUCAAAAUUCUCCUUGCUCUUUAGAAAAAUGUAAUACGGUUAAGUCCAGUCACCAGGCUGAGGAGAACACUCAGAUUUAUUCUUUUAAUGUUAAGAUAACUUUGUUUCCAUAACCAAUCCUUCUCCAUUCCCCUUCUGUCUCCCGGACUCUGGUAACCAAUAUUGUGCUUUCUACUUCUUUAAGAUAAACAUCUUAAGAUUUCACAUGAGUGGUAUCAUGCAGUGUUUGUCUUUCUAGGCCUAGCUCAUCACAUUUAACAUAAUGUUUUCCAGGUUCAUCUGGGUUGCUCUAAAUGACACUGUUUGAUUAUUCUGAUAGCCGAAGAAUAUUCCCCAGUGUAUGUAUAUGAGAGUUUCUUGAUCUCUUUAUCUGUGGGUGAACAGGUAGGUUGAAUGUAUAGCCAGUAGUGGGACUGCUAGAUGGUAUGGUAUUUCCUUUUUUUUUUUCUAUUGUUUGCAGGACCCCCAACUGUUUUUUAUAGUGUUAAUACCAAUUUACAUUUCCACAAACAGUCCCCCUUUCUGGAAAUUCAUACUAGGAAUUUUCUUUUUAAAUAUUUUAAUCUUUUUGUGAUGUUCAUUCUAGUUGGAGUGAGAUAAGAUCUGAGAGUGGUUUUGAUCUACAUUUUUCUCAUGAGUAGUAAUGUUAACCACGUUUUUAUAAAUGUUGAAUCUGUUUUCUGUCUUCUUUGCACAAAUAUCUACUCAGGUUAUUUGCCCAAUUUUGGUCUGGUUAUUUCUCUGUUGUUUUGUUUUUUUGCCAGCUGUUAGUGUUACUGGCUUGUGCCUUUUCAAAAGUAACCUGUUAUCCACUGUAUGUUUGCCCAAACUUUUCUUAUAAGUUUUAGUAUGCCUUUUCAUUUUGUUCGUUCUUUCCUUUUUUGGGCACAAAUUCUUCAGUUUGAUGAGGUACCACAUGUGUAUAAUUUCUUGGUUAGUGUGCUAUUGUUUACUAAUCAAGAAAAAACAAAAUCAGUGCCAAAGCAGUCCAUUGUCAGUGAUUUUUCCCUUGUAUUUUUGUUACUUUUUGCAAACUGUGAGCAUACAUCCAAGUUUCCCUAAAUAUACACACACUCGAGGUUGUGUUUAUAAGAGCUUUAUGGUUGCAAGUUUUGUGAAUUAUUUCUGUAUUAUUUAGUACCACACUUUUUGUAUUAUUUAGUACACUAAAUAUAUUUUGUAUUAUUUAGUAUAAAUACAAAAUAAUACAAAAUAAAAAUAUUUUUUAUUAUUUAGUACACACUAUUUGUAUUAUUUAGUACCACACUUUUUGCAAACCGUGAGCAUACAUCCAAGCUUCCCUAAAUAUACACACACUCGAGGUUGUGUUUAUAAGAGCUUUAUGGUUGCAAGUUUUGUGAAUAAUCUUUAAUCCUUUUGAGUUAAAGUGUUUUUUUUGGUACCACAAGAGUCCUGUAUUAUUUAGUACCACAAGAGUCCUGUAUUAUUCUUUUGCAUAUGGAUAUCUAGUUUUGGAAACCUUCCCCAUUGUGUUGUUUUGGUGGUGUUUUGAAAAAUGUGUUCACUCUGUGUAAAUUUGUGUUUAUUAUUGAGCGCUCUCAUUUUGCUCACUGGUCUGUGUUUCUCUGUGUAUGCCAGUAACAUAUGGAUUGGUUAACUAGGGAUUUUCGUUUAAUUCGAACUCAGGGAAUGUGAUGCAGCCCAUAUGGUUUGUAUUUCUCAGGAUUGCUUUAGAAAUUCAGGGUGUUUCGUAUUUCCACAUAAAUUUUGGCAUUGUUUCUUUGUAUUUCUUAAAACACUAUUUGCCAUACACUAAGUGUAUAUAAGUAGAGGGUACAAGGAAGAUUUCGAUACAUGUAUAUGUUGAGUAAUGAAAAAAUCAAGUUAUUUAGCAUCUCUUCACCUCAUAGUUACUACUUUUUGAGUGGUAACAACAUUCAGAAUCUUUCCUUCUAGCUACUUUGAAAUAUAUGAUACAUUUGUAUUAAGGCUAGUCACCCUGCUGUAGAAUAGAAGACCAGAAUUGAUUACUGUCAUCUAAGAGUAACUUUGUACCCAUUACUGAUUCCUUCCCCGACCCUCUCCACCUCCCCAGCAGCCUCUGGUAAUCCCUAUUGAACUUUCUACUUCUAGGAGAUAAAGCUUUUUUCAGUCUACAUGUCUGAGAUCACGUGGCAUGGGACUUUCUCUGCCAGGCUCAUUUGUUGGACCUGAUGUUCUCCAGGUUUCUUCAUGUGGCUGCAGAUGGCAGGAUUUCCCAAAGCUUUAUGGCUGAAACAUAUUCCGUGGUGUAUCUGUAUGGCAGUUUCUUCAUCCCUGAAGCUGUGUACGGACAGGUAGGUUGGUUUUGUACCUUGGCCACAGUUAGGGGUGCUUUAGUACCCAUGGGAAGGCAGGUAACUCUCUUCAACCUAGGGAUUUCAAGUGCUUUAAUUGUGGAACCAGUGAUGGGGCUUCUAGCUGACAUGGUAGUUGUACUGUGAAUUUUUUCAGGAACCUCUAGCUGUUUUUCAUAGUGUGUAUACUAAUUUACAUCCCCACCAAUAGCAUUUAAGAGGUUUCUCUUCUGUAAGUCUACACUGGCUGUCACCUUUAAAAAUUUGUGUUUUGUUUGUCUUUGGUAGUAUUCAUUCUGAGUGGAAUGAGAUGGACUCUUAGUGUGGUUUUUGUGGACAUUUUUGUGAGGAUUGGUGAUGUCGAGAAAGUUAUUUGAGAAAUCCCCACAUCGUUUUCCAUGGUGUCUGAACUAGUUUGCAUUUCUACCAACAGCAGACCAGCAUCCUCUCCUCCUCUGCCUCGCUGGCAUUCAUUCUUGUGGACUGUGUCAUAAUUGUCAUUCCGACCAGUGUGAAAUACUAUCUCAUGGGCCUUUUGCUUUGCAUUUCUCUGAUGAUUACUGAGGUAGAGAAAUGUCCUGUCCGUUGGUUGCUAUAAACCUUCCUUUGAGAUGUGUGUUUUCAUGCCCUUUGCCCUUUCUUCACUGAGUUUUUGUUUUGCUGAUUUAUUUGCUUAACAUUUUUGAGGUAGAUCCUGGAAAUCAGACUUCAUGAGAUGCAUAUGUGGGGACAUUUUCUCCCAUUGUGUAGGCUUUCUGUUUACUCUGUUGGUAAUUUCUUCUGCUGUUCAGCAGCUCUUUUAUAUAUUAGGUCCCACUUGUCAAUAAUUGUUUUAGUUGCACUUGCUUUUGGGGACUUAGGCAUAUCCAUGCUGUGCCAAAUCCUCUGUCAGGAAGUGUAUUUCCUAGGUUCCCUUGCAGGCUUUUAAUAGUUUGAGGUCUUGCAUUUACAGCUUUCAUUCAUCUUGCGUUAAUUUCUGUACAUGGUGAGACACAGGGGCCCACUGUUUUUCUUCUGCAACUGGCUAGCCGUUUUAUCCCAGCACCAUCUAUUGAGAGGAGGGAGUUCUUUCUCCAAAGCUUGUUUGUGUGGUUUUUGUUGAAGAUGAAGAAAUAGUGUCAACCUGGUGUUUGAUGUCCAAUGUUCACCAGGCUCCAGGUGGACACCUCUAGAAGUAGAUCUUUACAGAUGAGAACCUGGAACUGGUUUGCUGACCCGUUUUAGUCGGAAUGAAUUCCUGACCUUCUUGUCAGGAGGAGACAGAAACCUGAUCAUCUGUAGUGUACGGUGGUAUCGUGAUUACUUAAAUCAUCAAAUGUGGUUAUUGGGAAUGAUGUGUUUUUUCAAGUGGUAUAUGAGAGGUAAAAUUGCUAUUGUAGUUGACUGUUGCAGUUAUAAUUUUGUCAACAUGGUCUGUAAGAGUGCAAUGGAGUCGGCCCGGCGUGGUGGCUCACGCCUGUAAUCCCAGUACUUUGGGAGGCCAAGGCGGGCCGAUCAUGAGGUCAGGAAGCCCCAGAAGAUGUUUCUCUAAGAAAUUAAGGAUUCGUUUGUUGGGGAGGGCUGCUGGCAUGUUUGAAAAGUACUGUGACGGCUGA